This 486-nucleotide ribosomal RNA is filed under the name uncultured bacterium. RNAcentral's name for it is "partial 16S ribosomal RNA". It matches the Rfam family "Bacterial small subunit ribosomal RNA", at positions 30 to 507 of the family's 1533-position model. The record is from RNAcentral.
AUUGAACGCUGGCGGCAUGCCUUACACAUGCAAGUCGAACGGCAGCACGGGUGCUUGCACCUGGUGGCGAGUGGCGAACGGGUGAGUAAUACAUCGGAACAUGUCCUGUAGUGGGGGAUAGCCCGGCGAAAGCCGGAUUAAUACCGCAUACGAUCUACGGAUGAAAGCGGGGGACCUUCGGGCCUCGCGCUAUAGGGUUGGCCGAUGGCUGAUUAGCUAGUUGGUGGGGUAAAGGCCUACCAAGGCGACGAUCAGUAGCUGGUCUGAGAGGACGACCAGCCACCCUGGGACUGAGACACGGCCCAGACUCCUACGGGAGGCAGCAGUGGGGAAUUUUGGACAAUGGGCGAAAGCCUGUUCCAGCAAUGCCGCGUGUGUGAAGAAGGCCUUCGGGUUGUAAAGCACUUUUGUCCGGAAAGAAAUCCUUGGCCCUAAUACGGUCGGGGGAUGACGGUACCGGAAGAAUAAGCACCGGCUAACUACGUG